RNAcentral lists this ribosomal RNA (371 nucleotides) under uncultured bacterium. RNAcentral describes it as "bacterial SSU rRNA". It matches the Rfam family "Bacterial small subunit ribosomal RNA", at positions 523 to 897 of the family's 1533-position model. The record is from RNAcentral.
AUACGGAGGGUGCAAGCGUUAAUCGGAAUCACUGGGCGUAAAGCGCGCGUAGGUGGCUUGGUAAGUCGGAUGUGAAAUCCCAUGGCUCAACCGUGGAACUGCAUUCGAUACUGCCAGGCUUGAGUGCGGGAGAGGGUGGCGGAAUUCCCGGUGUAGGAGUGAAAUCCGUAGAGAUCGGGAGGAACACCAGUGGCGAAGGCGGCCACCUGGACCGUAACUGACGCUGAGGCGCGAAAGCGUGGGUAGCAAACAGGAUUAGAUACCCUGGUAGUCCACGCCUUAAACGAUGGAUACUAGGUGUCGGGGUGUAACUUCGGUGCCGGAGCUAACGCGUUAAGUAUCCCGCCUGGGGAGUACGGUCGCAAGGCUGA